Molecule: long non-coding RNA, 8227 nt
Filed under: Sus scrofa (pig)
Lineage: Eukaryota; Metazoa; Chordata; Mammalia; Artiodactyla; Suidae
Description: lncRNA (ENSSSCG00055016188.1)
Source: RNAcentral
UUUUUUUUUUUUUUUUGUCUUUUUAGGGUCACAGCCGCGGCAUUUGGAACUUCCCAGGCUAGGGGUCCAAUCAGAGCUCUAGCUGCCAACCUAAACCACAGCCACAGCAAUGCCAGAUCCUAGCCAGGUCUAUGACCUACACCACAGCUCACGGCAACACCGGGUCCCCAACCCACUGAGUGAAGCCAGGGUUUGAACCCUCAUCCUCAUGAAUACUAGUCGGGUUCGUUAACCUCUGAGCCACGACGGGAACUCCUCAUUGCCAGGUGACUUUCAACCAGUCACCAGUACCCCUAGAGACAUCCACUUAUUACCAUAAUUGGCUAGGGAAAAAAAACUAGUCCUUGAUAAAGCUGAGGCACAUACUUAAGACAUUCAUAUCUCAAGUUACUUUGCAAACAACAUAUUAAACCUCCAGCCUCUUUGUCUUCUGGUUUUACAGGUGUGUACUAAGAAGUUAAGCAACUCAAACAUCAUAAGAAGAUAAAAAGUAAGUUCAAUUUCCUCUUGUAGCACUCCUCCUGAACAAAGUCAUUUCCUGAUGUACUGCAAGAGUCCGUUAAUCAUCCCCACCCCAUUAAAUCGACUCGCUUUCAUUAUGGGUUUCUAAUCCAGUUGGGCAUGAACAACUGGGCACAGGAUAUGCUUCCCAUGAAUUUCACUUUUUAUUUUAAUACCUACUUCCUUCACCUAUUUUCUCUGGCUUACCUUUCAUCUUCUCCUCCCUAAUCCCUCAGCUUCCCAAUGUCCUGGGAUACAGUGGGUUCAAAGAAGCUGUGACAAUGCCCUCUCUUCACAUCAGUCCAGUCUCGCCUCCAUUGCGAGCUCAAUCCUGUGCUCCACUGGUGCCCAGCAGUAGUCUGAUCUCAGGGUUAAGAGCAUAACUACAGGAAGAGAUUUUGUAGGCAGAGACCCUGAGCUAUAAUAGCAAGCUCUCUCAUCCCCUCCUUCAAUGCCUUCUGAAACAGCAUUGUUCUCUUUUAUGGCUUUUUUUCUCUUACUGAAGAUUAGUUUACUUACAACGUUGUGUUAGUUUCUGGUGUACAGCAAAGCGAUUCAUACACACACACACAUAUGUAUCACACAUAUAUGUAUACAUAUAUGUUCUUUUCCAUUACGGUUUAUCAUGGGAUAUUGAAUAUAGUUCCUGUGCUAUAUAGUAGGAUCUUGUUGUUUUUCUAUUUUAUGUAUAGUAGUUUUUAAUCUACUCUUCCCAAAGUCCUAAUUUCUCCCUCCUCCACCCUGCUUCCACUUUGGCAACUGUAGGUUUGUCUUCUAUAUCUGUGAGUCUGCUUCGGUUCUGUAAAUAAGUUUGUGUCUUAGACUCUAUAUGUAAGUGACACCAUAUGGUAACUGCCUUUCUCUGUCUGACUUUUCACUUAAUAUGAUCAUCUCUGGGUCCAUCCAUGUUGCUGCAAAUGGCAUUAUGAAACAACAUUUUGAAACAGGUGUAAAAAGUCACAUCCAGCCCAUCUUCUUUCUGCUGCACAAGGUCAAAAGGAUAAGAAUCAAGGGCUGGUCACUCCAGUCAUUCUCCUUGCUCAUUCUGCCAGGGUAUGAGAGUCCAGGGAGAAAUUAGCUUCAGAAUUAUAGUCUGAGCACCUUGGCCUUCUCUAAAAUGAAUGUUUCAAAAAUGCCCCAUAGACAGAUCAUUAAAACCUCCUUAGGCAUUGCCACAGGAGGGCUUCUUAGGGCCACAAAUCUUGCCAUAGAGAUAAAGUAUUUAUCCAGUCAGCACUUCCGCAGCCUGCUGGUGGCUGGUGAAGGAUUUAGCAAGGUGGUUCUUCCAGCUUCCUCACUUCACAAAGUACCUCUUGGGGGUGAGCUGACCGUGGGCAGAACACAUCUCUUUCCUGAACCUCAGUUUCCUUAUCUGUAAAAGCAAAGAGAUUUGACCAAAGCCUGCAAGUCUGGCUUGUAAGGAGAUGGCUUCAAGAGCACUGCUCCCCCUUGCAAUUCCAAAGAGCCCGGAUUGCAUACACCAGAGGGGCUGGUUAAAUACAGGGUGGCCUGGCCUUGAAGAAAUUAACAGUCCCCAAACUCAAACAGAAUAAAUGGUGACAGGCCAUUUAACCUGAAUAUUAGGCAAUGGGAGCAGACAUCUCUCAGGUGUCUGUCUGCUCAGCUUCCCAGAAAUCCCCUUUUCUCUUGAAAAUGGUCUCCCAAGCAAUUCACAAUGGUGGGAUUCCAGUGGAAGCACUGGUGACCCCACCUCUUCUGAUGACAGGCCAGCAGUAGACACUUGAUCCACAGAGAGCACACCAGAACCUCUCCUCCAGAAAUUCAGAAUUGAUUGUGAGACUACAAGUCAGUCUCCACCUAAGACUAGGGUUGUAAUGUGUUUUAUGGGCUUCCCUGGGUCAAGGAAAAGGCAUGCUCACCCUCCACCUAUUCUUCUAGCCUUUGAACUUUAAAAUAUGAGGUGUUCAUUCUUAUAGAAUUCCAACUGCCUAGACAUGUCUGCCCUACAAAACUUUUACCAUUUCUCCUAGGAUGGAAUACACAAAGUGGGGGGAGGUGAAAAAUUGCAACUGUGUAACCAUCCUUUGGUGCCAGAAGAGCCCCUCUGUUGGUUUGCCUGGCCUGGAGGGAGGGUGUGGUGGCUUAUAGGUAUAGACCAUCUUGGCAGGUGAAGUUAAAGAUGACACUGAAGGUAACUUCCUAAAUUAGUGAUUGAGAGCUGGGAAGCCCAUACCAUCAUUUGCUCCCCUUGCACUGGCCUCGGUGGCACUUGAAUAACAUGAUCCUGGCACUUCCAGCAAAUGUGAAGUCUAAUGGGACUCCUCUCUGGAGCCUAUACAUAGACUUCAGAGGCCAUGCCAGGGCUAGGCAGUGAGGGGCAAUGGGGAGUUGUCAAAGGUCUAUGCAACACGGCCCCUGGGUUAAAGGGCAGUCAUGGUCAGGCAAGUGGGCCAAAGAAGAGAAUGUUGUUCUGCUGGUGGAGAAAGGGUGUCCUGCGUUCUCUUUUCAUUACCUGGAGUUGCUUUCUAUUGCCAGCAACCCAAGGGCCUAACUUACACAGCAAACCUGACAGUGAAGAUCCAAUCUGAAAGCUUCUUGAGAGUCCAUGAGAACAGGGUAUUAGAAAAGAGGGUGACAAGUCUUGUGGGCUGCCAACCGCUCCGUCGAUGAGACAGUGCCAGACAUUUGCACCACAACCUGCCCUCAGCUUCCCCUUUUCUGUGCUGCAAACAACCCUUUCAGUUCUUUACACUAUACUAAGUUUGCUCUCACUGGCCUCUCAGAGUGACUUCGGAGAAGAGCCAUUGGUAGGUGUUAGGCUUCCUUCUGGCCUGGUGCUCAAAGCAGUGAGCUGGAAGGGACAGCAUGAUAGGUAGAACAGCUAAAAAAGAAAACAGAACUCUGGAUCAGCAGGCCCAGGCAACUGGUGAGCUGUGUGUCCUUGGGCAAGUCCCUUACCCUCUCUGGCUCUCACUGAACUCUGCUGUAAAAAGAGGAGGGAAGAGCAGAUGAUGGCCAAGUUCCUAUGAGCAGAAGGUGUGGUGUGGACCCUCUCACCUCCUUCUCUGGUAACACCUCUCUCCUGGGCAAUCCCAAUGAUGGUUACUCCCCCGGAAAGGUGUCCGAGCCUUCUCCAGAUGCUGGUGCCCAAAGGGAGGGAGCUCUGAUUGGGAUUCACUCCACACUUCUUUCCUGCAUCACCAGAACUGCUCACUUGAAUUGAUGAGUCAAGGACAGCCAGUCUGGCUACUCUGGCAAUAGACAGACGAGUUUAUUAGAAGCAAACACCAGGCUUUCAGUUCACGUUAGUCUGGUCCUUGGAUUUGCUUGAUUGCACAUUCAGAGACAGGCACUGCAGGCGGAGUGACCUCGGCUGCCAGCCCACUCCACUGGUCCAGACCCAGCUAUUACCAACCGCCUGCUUAAACCAGGCCUGCAGGGAGCUGAGCCUGGCCAACAGAUGAAACUGCAAAUUAGUGGUUGAGGUUGCUUCUUGUUCCUCACACAGGAGAGUUUCCAUUGGUAGCCAGGCCUGUUGAAGCUGCCCUUGGGGACAGCUGCACAGGGUGUUCAGCCUCCAGGAGCCUCCUCCCUCGUGGGUUGGGACAUCUGUUAAGCCUGUCCAUCAUUCUUUCCCAGAAUCAGAGGUAGGUCCUGAGACACUUAGCUCCUCAUUGCAAAAGCCUUCCCUGAGCACCUGGGUUUCCUUACGUGAGGGAUCCACAAAUGGAAGCCUCUCCAUGAAGAUUUCACAGUAGCAUACGAUCCAUAGUUAAUUACAUUUACUAGCUGUGUAACCAACCCUAGGCCUGUCUGAGCCUUUGUUUCCUCAACUGUAAAUGGGAAUAACAAGGCUGCCCAUCUCACUGGGUUGAUGUAAGGAAUAAAUAAACACAGGCUAAGUACUUAGAAGAAGGCCUGCACAUGGCAAAUGCUCAAUAAAUCUUAGCCAUUAUGACUGUCACUAAUUUGGUCAAGGGACGUCGGAUAUGGAAGGCAGCUGGAAGAAGGCAACUUUAAUUUCACCAUUGAAAAGCACUCCAUCUAUUAAAGAAUCAAAAUGUUCCUUGUAUUCAGAUGGAAUUAUUUAGACACAGGCUCUAUAAAAUGUAAUCACUUAUGAGAUUUUACAUUUUUAAGAUAAGACAUGUUAUUGAACAUACAAGCUGAGAGAAGCUAGGAGAAUGGAAGGGUCUGGUACCUUUCACUCAUUCUGGAAGACAAUCCCUCAGGCCUCUGGCCUGCCUCCCCAUGGGGUGACACACCCUCCACUCUGAACAAGAAACCUUCAGGACAGAGAUGUUAAAGAAUUUGCCCACUGCACGUGAUUCAAAACCAGUUCUACCUGGAUCCAAAGCAUCUGCUGUUUCAACCUCUCCAUCCUGUCAAGUAUUUGCCAGGUAGGUACUCUGGAAGAGACACAGAGAGAGGACAUGGCCCCAAAUCCAAGGUGCCAUCACCCUGAAAGGAACACCUAAUAUUAUACAGAAGGCCUGAAAUAUAGUUGAGAAAAAGCUCCCAGCAAUCAAAAGGAAAUAGGGGAGUUCUCGUUGUGGCUCAGCAGGUUAAGAACCCAACUAGUACCUAUGAGGAUGUAGGUUUGACCCUUGGCCUCGCUCAGUGGGCUAAGGACCUGGCAUUGCCACAGCUGCAGCAUAGGCACAGAUGCAGCUCAGAUCCCACAAUGCUGUGGCUGUGGCAUAGGCCUGAAAACUUCCAUGUGCUGCAGGUGUGGCCCUAAAAAAAAAUUAGAGGAUCAAAACAAGAGAUCUAAUAUCCAACAAAUAAGCUUUCUAGGAUAAGUGAGAAAAUGAAGAGAGGAAUUUAAAGAAAUAUAAGAAAAUUCCCCAGAACUGAAAGGUCUGAGCUGAUUGAAAAGAAUCUGCUAAGGAUACAGACAAACUGGGGGUCAGGGAUGCACCAUCAUGAAAUUUCCUAUCGUCGGAGAUAAAGAGAAUAUUCUAGAGGUGUUUGGAGAAGAGAAACAAGACACACACAAAAGUUUGGAGCCAAGAUGGCCCUGGAGUUCUCUCCAGCAACACUGGAAAUAACAACAACAAAAAUAGAGCUACAGUCCCACAGUUCUGAGUACAAACCACUUGCCACCUAGAUUUCAGUUUUAAGAAAGCGUUAGUGGGAGUUUCUGCAGUGGCGAAGUGGUUAACGAAUCCGACUAGGAACCUCCAGCCAAUGUCAUUUUAAAUCAUGCAUUCAGAGUUGUGCUCAUAAACCAACUCUAUAUAAAACAAAGAAACAAAAAAUACCUUGAACAUUUGCAAUUUCCAUGAUGUAAAUACUCCCACUGUGGUGAAUUUCAAGGUACAGACAGCCUGCCUCUCACAGGUGGACUGGAGCAGGGAGGGGAGGUGGACAAACUCCUAAGGCAAAGGUGAAGCCCAGAACAGCUGAGAAUGCAACCGGCUUGCCCACACCCCUGCCCACCCCCUUUCCUCUUCCACUGUCAGAAUCUAGCUAUGAAAGUCACUUUUCCUGGAGCCGUGAUAAAGAAAACCAGUCUAAAAGUAAACUCCCAAAGAUAGGUUUCAAAAAGCUGGUUUUCAAAAGCCAAGGGAAGACCAAAUAGGUCAAAAGCUGAGAUUAUCUCAGGUACAACCAAGAGCAAAUAGCAAGGAGUCAGUCAAGCUGUGGACAUCAGCUGCCUCCAAUUUGAUUUAUUUCCAGAGCUGGUAAUAGGAUAAAGGAUGAUUUAAACACUGGGUCCUGCACUUUAAGGAGCAUUAGAAUCAUUGGGGUGGGGGGCGGGGAGGAGUUCCCGUUGCGGCUCGACCGGUCCCCAACAUAGUAUAUGUGAGGUUGUGACUUCCAUCCCUGGCCUACCUCAGUGAGUUAAAGUUCCAACAUCGCUGCAAGCUGCACCGUAGGUUGAAGAUGCUGUUUGGAUCUGUGGUGUUGCUGUGGCUGUGGAAUAAGCAAGCAGUUGCAGCUCAGAUUCAAUCCCUAGCCUGGGAACUUCCAUGUGCUGCAGGUGCAGCUUUAAAAAGAAAAAGAAAAAAGAAUUUUCUGGGGGUGGGCUUGGUAAACGCAGAUCACAGGGCCCCAACGUCAUCGCACCUGAUUCUUAGUCAGUCUCAGGUCGGGCUCCAGAGAUUGAAUAUUUUUAAAGAGCUCCCAGGUGAUUCCUAUGCUCCCUGCCCAGAAAACACGUUUUGAGAACCAUUGGCCUAGAUGGUUCAAAUAACCAAAAAAAAAAGAAGAGACUUCAGUCAAUGAGUUGUUGGAUGGAGUCUACAUGUGUAUUCAAGGAAUGAAGACAGGUUCUGUUCCUUCUAAACACAUGAUUACAAUGGUUUUCAGUUCAUGUCUUGAUAAUUUACAGAUCUAAAAGGUAAUUUUAUCUUUACCAGAUUGAACAUAUAUUUGGGAUCUACUGUAAAUUUCCACCAGCCUUCAGUCUAGCUUAGCAAGAAAGGAAAGUCCGAAGUCAUUUUGAGUGCUUUACAUGUGUAAAUGCAUUGGACCUCCCGGAAACUAGGUUAUUACUAUUGUCAUUGCUGUUUUAGAAACCAGAGCAGAGAUGAAUGUAUUAAGAAGAUGUGGUAUAUAACACACAAUGGAAUACUACUCAGCCAUAAAAAAGAACAAAAUCAUGCCAUUUGCAGCAACAUGGAUGGAACUAGAGACUCAUACUAAGUGAAGUACAUCAGAAAGAGAAAUACCACAUGAUAUCACUUAUAUCUGGAAUCUAAUAUAUAGCACAAAUAAAGCUUUUGUGAUCAGCAGCCUGUGCACUGGGGGUGGAGGUGGGGAGGGGUAUUCCCAUGCCCCUCCCCCAAGUGUGUGCCUUCACCUUCCACUGUCCCUCCAGUCUCACUGAUGGCAGAGCAGGAAUGAAACUCAGGUUCUUUACUUUCUUGCGCUGUAGUCUCUGAAGCUCGUCUCAGAAUAACAUUUUAUUCUUGACAGAAUAAAAAGGAAAUCAUCUGCACUGAAAUAUUGUUAUCAAAACACUUUUUUUGUACAGUAACAUGUAGUGAUAACAGACAUUACUAUAUAUAAAAGGACAUGAACAAAAUCUAGGAGCUGGCCUAGUAACUGCCAUAAAUUUAAAGUAGUUAACCAUAUUCUGAGAUAUUUGAAACAACUUUCAAUGUGCUAUAAAAAUAGUUGUGGUUUCUACCGGUGGCAGGUAUAGGUCUGCUAAUGUUAUUGUGGUUUGUCACCUAUAUUCAUAAUUAAAGGAAAUGUCAGUUUUCAAUUAGAGAAAUUCAGAAUUCUAAACCCUAUUUUAAGUCAGUUUCAACAAGUCUAAAUAAAGUUUCAUGCCACUCAAAUUUACAUUUUCACCUUAUUUUUCAUUAUUCCUUUAAAAAUAUGGCUCCAGGAUUCCUUGCCUUUUUUUUUUCUUUCAUUUUAAAACUUGGAAUGAGUGAUAUUUGUGGUUCAGUAAUUACCCUAGGGUCUACUAUACAAAACACAAAACACACUCACAUUUGCGUCUCAAUAGGUCUUAGCAAAUGUCAUAGAUCCAACCUAAUUUCUAAAAUACAUUAAAAAAUCUCCAGUUAAAAAUAAUUAUAUUUUGAGCUACGGGCCUAUCUUUUCAUAAUCAUAAACUCAAAGAAAUCUUGUCUGUAGGGUGCUGCACCAAAUCAGAUCUGGUGCUCAAGGCAAAGCAUUUUUGGCUCCUUAUAACACAUUCCACUCCAUUCCCUGCUGGGUCUUAAUUAAUGGCCUGUUCCCCCCACCCCCGGGUGGCGGGGGGUGCAGGGGGGGAACCAUUCCACCAAAAAACUUUAUUCUCUUC